UGGGCCAAAUUAAACCAAACUUGGCCACAAUCACAAUUGGGGUAUCUAGUUUAAAAAAUGUGUGGCGUGACCCGACCAACCAACCAAGAUGGCCGCCACAGCUAAAAAUAGAACAUAGGGGUAAAAUUCAGUUUUUGGCUUAUAACUCAAAAACCAAUGCAUUUAGAGCAAUUCUGACAUAAGUAGAAUUGAUUAUCAGGUCAAGAUCUAUCUGCCCUGAAAUUUACAGAUGAAUCGGACAACCUGUUGUUGGGUUGCUGCCCCUGAAUUGGUAAUUUUAAGGAAAUUUUGCUGUUUUUUGGUUAUUAUCUUGAAUAUUAUUAUAGAUAGAGAUAAACUGUAAACAGCAAUAAUGUUCAGCAAAGUAAGAUUUACAAAUAAGUGAACAUGACUGAAAUGGUCAGUUGACCCGGCCCCUUUAGGAGUUAUUGCCCUUUAUAGUCAAUUUUUAACCAUUUUUCGUAAAUCUUAGUAAUCUAUUACAAAAAUCUUCUCCUCUGAAACCACUGGGCCAAAUUAAACCAAACUUGGCCACAAUCAUCAUUGGUGAUUCAAUUUUAAAAAAUGUGUGGCGUGACCUGGCCAACCAACCAAGAUGGCCGCCACAGAUAAAAAUAGAACAUAGGG
Molecule: long non-coding RNA, 627 nt
Filed under: Mytilus galloprovincialis (Mediterranean mussel)
Lineage: Eukaryota; Metazoa; Mollusca; Bivalvia; Mytilida; Mytilidae
Source: RNAcentral